RNAcentral lists this ribosomal RNA (496 nucleotides) under uncultured bacterium. Its description in RNAcentral is "bacterial SSU rRNA". It matches the Rfam family "Bacterial small subunit ribosomal RNA", at positions 28 to 507 of the family's 1533-position model. The record is from RNAcentral.
GAUGAACGCUGGCGGCGUGCCUAAUACAUGCAAGUCGAGCGAACAGAUAAGGAGCUUGCUCCUUUGACGUUAGCGGCGGACGGGUGAGUAACACGUGGGUAACCCACCUAUAAGACUGGAAUAACUCCGGGAAACCGGGCUAAUGCCGGAUAACAUUUAGAACCGCAUGGUUCUAAAGUGAAAGAUGGUUUUGCUAUCACUUAUAGAUGGACCCGCGCCGUAUUAGCUAGUUGGUAAGGUAACGGCUUACCAAGGCAACGAUACGUAGCCGACCUGAGAGGGUGAUCGGCCACACUGGAACUGAGACACGGUCCAGACCCCUACGGGAGGCAGCAGUAGGGAAUCUUCCGCAAUGGGCGAAAGCCUGACGGAGCAACGCCGCGUGAGUGAUGAAGGUCUUCGGAUCGUAAAACUCUGUUAUUAGGGAAGAACAAAUGUGUAAGUAACUGUGCACGUCUUGACGGUACCUAAUCAGAAAGCCACGGCUAACUACGUG